UCCUCCCCAGCCGUGCUUCCUGCACUGCAUGUGGAGCCAUGAGCCAACUAAACCUCUUUUCUCUAUAAGUUACCCAGUCUCAGGUAUUUCUUUAAAAAUGUGCGAACAGACUAAUACAUGCUUAACUACUUUUUAUCAAGUAAAUCCCCAUACAAAGGAAUUGCCAUUGUCAAGUGGCAGCCACAGGAGGUGGACCGUGUGUCAGGAGAGGCUGGAAUAGAGGAAAAGAAGAGAAAAGACAAAAAGAACCAAACAAGUGAAAAACAUGAAACAUGAAUUUGAAAGUUUCAGAUUUAUUGGCUAAAUUAUUUUUAGAUCUACUACCUUGAAGGGUGGAGGUUUUCUAAGGCUAUUGUGUCAAUAUUAGAAACCUCAGAGUGACAUCUGCAUCACAGAGAUAAAAUUACACAGAAGAAAUAUGCAACCAGGGAGCACUGAACUAUUUUGUUUGGAGCCGGUUGAGCUUGAAAUGGAUUUUAGAAAAUGUGGUCCCAUUCCUUACUUUGUAGUUAGACAUAUCUUAUACAUAGCUAUUAAAAAUAAACAAAGCCACAUAUUUGAAUUGCUUCCACAUCCCAAGUCUUUUUGAAAGAAGUUUAGAGUCUUGAUAAGAUUAUUUUCAGAUACCUUAGCACUUGUAUGAAGAUAACAAAUAAAUUGUUUAAAUAAGGACCUCAGGUGAGGAUUGUAGCCCAAAUCCUAUAUUGUGUUCUGUGUUUAGAAAACAUUGAAAAAGCAGUUAUCAUACUGUAGAAUGUCUGCUUUAACCAAUAGAGCUAUAUUGAUUCCUAUGAAUUGUGAUUUUUUAAUGUAAAUUUAAGUUUUCUUUCCACAGACACAUUCUUAUACAGCUUUUUCCCAUUUCUUGUACAACAGUCUUACACAAUUUUUGCUUUACAGAUUAGAAAACUUUACAGAUUAUAACUGUACAGAUUAGAAAACUAAAAGUCAGCGUAGUGAAAUGACUUGCCAUCAUAUAAAAAGUAUGGAAAGAUAAGUAUUAAAUUAUUAGUUUCAUCUCAGUUAAAAUGUAAAGACAGUACUGCUCA
This 1049-nucleotide long non-coding RNA is filed under the name Pan troglodytes (chimpanzee). RNAcentral's name for it is "long non-coding RNA NONPTRT004355". The record is from RNAcentral. Lineage: Eukaryota; Metazoa; Chordata; Mammalia; Primates; Hominidae.